This 403-nucleotide ribosomal RNA is filed under the name uncultured bacterium. Its description in RNAcentral is "partial 16S ribosomal RNA". It matches the Rfam family "Bacterial small subunit ribosomal RNA", at positions 28 to 526 of the family's 1533-position model. The record is from RNAcentral.
GACGAACGCUGGCGGCGUGCCUAAUACAUGCAAGUCGAACGCAGUGGGGACGGGUCAGUAAAACGUGGCUAAACUCCCAUCAGAGGGGAUAACACUUGGAAACAGGUGCUAAACCGAUACUGAUUGAUGGACCCUGGGUGCAUUCGCUAGUUGGUGGGGUAACGGCUCACCAAGGCCACGAUGCAUAGCCGAUCUGAGAGGAGGAGCGGCCACACUGGGACUGAGACACGGCCCAGACUCCUACGGGAGGCAGCAGUAGGGAAUAUUGGGCAAUGGACGAAAGUCUGACCAAGCCACGCCGCGUGAGUGAAGAAGGUUUUCGGAUCGUAAAGCUCUGUAGUUAGAGAGGCGGUAUCUAACCAGAAAGCCACGGCUAACUACGUGCCAGCAGCCGCGGUAAUAC